RNAcentral lists this ribosomal RNA (2900 nucleotides) under Klebsiella pneumoniae MGH 48. Its description in RNAcentral is "bacterial LSU rRNA". It matches the Rfam family "Bacterial large subunit ribosomal RNA". The record is from RNAcentral. Lineage: Bacteria; Pseudomonadati; Pseudomonadota; Gammaproteobacteria; Enterobacterales; Enterobacteriaceae.
UUAAGCGACUAAGCGUACACGGUGGAUGCCCUGGCAGUCAGAGGCGAUGAAGGACGUGCUAAUCUGCGAAAAGCGUCGGUAAGGUGAUAUGAACCGUUAUAACCGGCGAUGUCCGAAUGGGGAAACCCAGUGCAAUUCGUUGCACUAUCGUUAACUGAAUACAUAGGUUAACGAGGCGAACCGGGGGAACUGAAACAUCUAAGUACCCCGAGGAAAAGAAAUCAACCGAGAUUCCCCCAGUAGCGGCGAGCGAACGGGGAGCAGCCCAGAGUCUGAAUCAGCUUGUGUGUUAGUGGAACGGUCUGGAAAGUCCGACGGUACAGGGUGAUAGUCCCGUACACCAAAAUGCACAGGUUGUGAACUCGAAGAGUAGGGCGGGACACGUGGUAUCCUGUCUGAAUAUGGGGGGACCAUCCUCCAAGGCUAAAUACUCCUGACUGACCGAUAGUGAACCAGUACCGUGAGGGAAAGGCGAAAAGAACCCCGGCGAGGGGAGUGAAAAAGAACCUGAAACCGUGUACGUACAAGCAGUGGGAGCACCUUCGGGUGUGACUGCGUACCUUUUGUAUAAUGGGUCAGCGACUUAUAUUCUGUAGCAAGGUUAACCGUAUAGGGGAGCCGCAGGGAAACCGAGUCUUAACUGGGCGUUAAGUUGCAGGGUAUAGACCCGAAACCCGGUGAUCUAGCCAUGGGCAGGUUGAAGGUUGGGUAACACUAACUGGAGGACCGAACCGACUAAUGUUGAAAAAUUAGCGGAUGACUUGUGGCUGGGGGUGAAAGGCCAAUCAAACCGGGAGAUAGCUGGUUCUCCCCGAAAGCUAUUUAGGUAGCGCCUCGUGAAUUCAUCUUCGGGGGUAGAGCACUGUUUCGGCUAGGGGGUCAUCCCGACUUACCAACCCGAUGCAAACUACGAAUACCGAAGAAUGUUAUCACGGGAGACACACGGCGGGUGCUAACGUCCGUCGUGAAGAGGGAAACAACCCAGACCGCCAGCUAAGGUCCCAAAGUCAUGGUUAAGUGGGAAACGAUGUGGGAAGGCACAGACAGCCAGGAUGUUGGCUUAGAAGCAGCCAUCAUUUAAAGAAAGCGUAAUAGCUCACUGGUCGAGUCGGCCUGCGCGGAAGAUGUAACGGGGCUAAACCAUGCACCGAAGCUGCGGCAGCGACACUAUGUGUUGUUGGGUAGGGGAGCGUUCUGUAAGCCUGCGAAGGUGUGCUGUGAGGCAUGCUGGAGGUAUCAGAAGUGCGAAUGCUGACAUAAGUAACGAUAAAGCGGGUGAAAAGCCCGCUCGCCGGAAGACCAAGGGUUCCUGUCCAACGUUAAUCGGGGCAGGGUGAGUCGACCCCUAAGGCGAGGCCGAAAGGCGUAGUCGAUGGGAAACAGGUUAAUAUUCCUGUACUUGGUGUUACUGCGAAGGGGGGACGGAGAAGGCUAUGUUAGCCGGGCGACGGUUGUCCCGGUUUAAGCAUGUAGGCUGGUUGUCCAGGCAAAUCCGGAUAAUCAAGGCUGAGGUGUGAUGACGAGGCACUACGGUGCUGAAGUAACAAAUGCCCUGCUUCCAGGAAAAGCCUCUAAGCAUCAGGUAACAUUAAAUCGUACCCCAAACCGACACAGGUGGUCAGGUAGAGAAUACCAAGGCGCUUGAGAGAACUCGGGUGAAGGAACUAGGCAAAAUGGUGCCGUAACUUCGGGAGAAGGCACGCUGGUGUGUAGGUGAAGCCCCUGCGGGUGGAGCUGAAAUCAGUCGAAGAUACCAGCUGGCUGCAACUGUUUAUUAAAAACACAGCACUGUGCAAACACGAAAGUGGACGUAUACGGUGUGACGCCUGCCCGGUGCCGGAAGGUUAAUUGAUGGGGUUAUCCGUAAGGAGAAGCUCUUGAUCGAAGCCCCGGUAAACGGCGGCCGUAACUAUAACGGUCCUAAGGUAGCGAAAUUCCUUGUCGGGUAAGUUCCGACCUGCACGAAUGGCGUAAUGAUGGCCAGGCUGUCUCCACCCGAGACUCAGUGAAAUUGAACUCGCUGUGAAGAUGCAGUGUACCCGCGGCAAGACGGAAAGACCCCGUGAACCUUUACUAUAGCUUGACACUGAACAUUGAGCCUUGAUGUGUAGGAUAGGUGGGAGGCUUUGAAGCGUGGACGCCAGUCUGCGUGGAGCCAACCUUGAAAUACCACCCUUUAAUGUUUGAUGUUCUAACGUUGGCCCCUGACCGGGGUUGCGGACAGUGUCUGGUGGGUAGUUUGACUGGGGCGGUCUCCUCCCAAAGCGUAACGGAGGAGCACGAAGGUUAGCUAAUCCUGGUCGGACAUCAGGAGGUUAGUGCAAUGGCAUAAGCUAGCUUGACUGCGAGCGUGACGGCGCGAGCAGGUGCGAAAGCAGGUCAUAGUGAUCCGGUGGUUCUGAAUGGAAGGGCCAUCGCUCAACGGAUAAAAGGUACUCCGGGGAUAACAGGCUGAUACCGCCCAAGAGUUCAUAUCGACGGCGGUGUUUGGCACCUCGAUGUCGGCUCAUCACAUCCUGGGGCUGAAGUAGGUCCCAAGGGUAUGGCUGUUCGCCAUUUAAAGUGGUACGCGAGCUGGGUUUAGAACGUCGUGAGACAGUUCGGUCCCUAUCUGCCGUGGGCGCUGGAGAAUUGAGGGGGGCUGCUCCUAGUACGAGAGGACCGGAGUGGACGCAUCACUGGUGUUCGGGUUGUCAUGCCAAUGGCACUGCCCGGUAGCUAAAUGCGGAAGAGAUAAGUGCUGAAAGCAUCUAAGCACGAAACUUGCCCCGAGAUGAGUUCUCCCUGAGACUUUAAGUCUCCUGAAGGAACGUUGAAGACGACGACGUUGAUAGGCCGGGUGUGUAAGCGCAGCGAUGCGUUGAGCUAACCGGUACUAAUGAACCGUGAGGCUUAACCUU